CCUACGGGAGGCAGCAGUGAGGAAUAUUGGUCAAUGGACGAGAGUCUGAACCAGCCAAGUAGCGUGAAGGAUGACUGCCCUAUGGGUUGUAAACUUCUUUUAUAAAGGAAUAAAACGAGGCACGUGUGCCUUUUUGCAUGUACCUUAUGAAUAAGGAUCGGCUAACUCCGUGCCAGCAGCCGCGGUAAUACGGAGGAUCCGAGCGUUAUCCGGAUUUAUUGGGUUUAAAGGGUGCGUAGAUGGGUUGUUAAGUCAGUGGUGAAAGUUUGCGGGUCAACCGUAAAAUUGCAAUUGAUACUGGCAUUCUUGAGUACACUAGAGGUAGGCGGAAUUCGUGGUGUAGCGGUGAAAUGCUUAGAUAUCACGCAGAACCCCGAUUGCGAAGGCAGCAUACUAAACUGUGACUGACGUUGAUGCACGAAAGUGUGGGUAUCAAACAGGAUUAGAUACCCCUGUAGUC
Molecule: ribosomal RNA, 460 nt
Filed under: uncultured bacterium
Lineage: Bacteria
Description: partial 16S ribosomal RNA
Rfam family: Bacterial small subunit ribosomal RNA
Source: RNAcentral